Molecule: ribosomal RNA, 1131 nt
Filed under: Triticum aestivum (bread wheat)
Lineage: Eukaryota; Viridiplantae; Streptophyta; Magnoliopsida; Poales; Poaceae
Description: partial small subunit ribosomal RNA
Source: RNAcentral
AUGGCGGCCUGCUCCGUCCGCCUCCUCGCCGCCGCCGCGCACCGCCGGGGCGCGGCCGCGUUCCUCCACUCGCCGCGGCGGCCCGUCGCGUGCUCCCUCUCGUUCCCGCGGGGCCACGGCGGCAUCCGCGGCCGCGCCGGCCUCUCCUCCAUCUCCCUCCCCUCCUCCGCCUCCUCCGCGCAGGGCCACGCGCCCUUCAACCUCCUCCCGCCGGACUCCGAGCCCUUCAUCCAGUGGGACGCCCUGCCUCCGCAGGACACCUCCGCGGGCGGCGCAGGGGCAGGCGGAAGGGAGGAGGGCCCCGCGCUGGUGGUGCUGCUGGGCUGGCUCGGCGCGCGGCAGAAGCACCUGCGGAGGUACGCGGACCUCUACCGCGACCGCGGGGUCGGGUCCGUGCGGUUCGUGGUCCCCGUCCGCGAGCUCCUGGGGCUCGACCUCGGCCGCCGCGUCGAGCGCAGGGUCGCCGACCUCUCCGCCGAGAUCGCCGCCUGGUGCGACGCCGACCGCAGCCGCACGCUCCUCUUCCACACCUUCAGCAACACCGGCUGGCUCGCGUAUGGUGCGGUACUUGAGAAUCUACAAUCAAGAGCUGAUAUAAUUGAGAGGAUAAAGGGAUGUAUUGUAGACUCGGCACCAGUUCUAGAGAUUAGACCAGAGGUCUGGGCUGCUGGUUUCUCUGCUGCCAUGCUGAAGAAAAGUAGUUCUUUAACAGGACCUUCAGCUGACUCCCCUGAUGGAUCUGCUUUGAAUGGUGCCUUGAACAAAGUUACUUCUGUCUCAGAGUUAACGAAACCAUCAUGGGGUGAAACUUUUCUUCUUUCAACCCUUCAAAAGUUCUUUGAGAUUGUCCUUCACCUACCUGAUGUAAACCGGAGAAUGCACAAGGUCCUCUCGGUUCUUUCAGAUAAGCAGCCGCCCUGCCCCCAGUUCUACCUGUACAGCUCCGCCGACAGAGUGAUCCCUGCCGAAUGCGUAGAGAGCUUCAUUAACAUGCAGAGAUCACUGGGGCUGAGCGUCUCAGCACACAAUUUUGUCUCGUCACCGCAUGUGGACCACUACAGGAGCUUCCCUCACCUGUACUCUGCCAAGAUCGACGAGUUCCUGAAGGUCUGUUCCCUAGUUAGUGUAUGA